RNAcentral lists this ribosomal RNA (484 nucleotides) under uncultured bacterium. Its description in RNAcentral is "partial 16S ribosomal RNA". It matches the Rfam family "Bacterial small subunit ribosomal RNA", at positions 30 to 507 of the family's 1533-position model. The record is from RNAcentral.
UGACCGCUGGCGGCGUGCCUAAUACAUGCAAGUCGAACGCUGGAGAUCUAGCUUGCUAGAUCGAAGGAGUGGCGAACGGGUGAGUAAUACAUAAGCAACCUACCCACGAAGACUGGGAUAAUCUCUGGAAACGGGGACUAAUACCGGAUAGGUAAUCGGAAGGCAUCUUCUGGUUAUUAAAGGUUAAAAACACUGGUGGAUGGGCUUAUGGCGCAUUAGUUAGUUGGUGAGGUAACGGCCCACCAAGACGAUGAUGCGUAGCCGGCCUGAGAGGGUGAACGGCCACAUUGGGACUGAGACACGGCCCAGACUCCUACGGGAGGCAGCAGUAGGGAAUUUUCGGCAAUGGGGGCAACCCUGACCGAGCAACGCCGCGUGAGUGAAGACGGCCUUCGGGUUGUAAAGCUCUGUUGUAAGGGAAGAACGGUAGAUAGAGAAUAUCUAAGUGACGGUACCUUACCAGAAAGCCACGGCUAACUACGUG